GGCCUUUGAGGACUGCCCUUAUGGUGGUGCAUUGGAUCAGGGCCCGAAGGGACCCCCCUCAACUCUCCAGUGGCGAUCUUGCUACCUCCAUCUUUCUUAAAUGUGCGCAGUAUCUGAUGCUCCCAGCCAUUGCACUUACGCACCCACGAUGUCCUGUUUCGCAAUCUGCAAGAACACUAACGAUGAAAAACGGUUCCCACAAAAACACACACACACAUACAGAGAAUACUGAUAACUGACCAGAAGCUGCCAUUAGAAGGAGCACGCAGAGGGUGACUACAGCAACUACGUGGCCAAGCUUAGAAUUGGAAGCCAUGAUCGCCAGAAUGGAAGGCCCUCACAGAAGUAUCGGAAGGUGCAACUGCGUGGUUGAGCGGAGACAUGCUUCUGCAAUAUAUAGAGAAGUUAUGGCAAACUUUGCCCCAAGAUGCUCUCAAAUGAUUGCUCAUGCAGCCAUUUCUGGAGAUAUGAUUUGAGACUGGCUUAACUCAUAGAUUUGGAGAGAGAGAGAGAGAGAGAAGAUUUGACUGUGUUGACAUGCAAUUUGCUGUGAUGUGGCCACUGUGGCGACGGCGCCGCUUUCGAGUACUGGCCUUGCCGUCACCGCCACGUCACUCUCCUCAGGGGGGUCUCAUUGAAGUACAGCUUGGCGAGCUGUGAGACCCACCUGGGAACAGAUGCUGUGAUGACGUCGGUAGGGGAUGGAUGGAAUGUGAUGGCGGCUCGUUGUCAAAUACAGACCGUACGAUCCUAUGACUUUUGCACUUGAUAGUCAACCGGUGAUUCGAUCCCAUUUUUGGAGGGUAAUGUGAUGUCUUUGGUGUGACAUCUUCCUGGCGCUACCGAUUUGGUUGUCGUCUCCUUUAUUGUUUUGACAGUGGGAAGCUGCUGCUAAUGAUGGUCUUUGAUCUCGUUUGUUGUAAAAGGAUCUUUUCAACAGAGCAAGAAGCUCUCUUCAGACACUUGACAAGAAAGGACACCUGGGAAUGUGAUUGAGUGAUGGGAUCUUCUUCUGUACAUGCUCAUGUGGUUGGCUGGAGAAGAUGCUGUUGCAGGAAAAAAGGUGAUUUCCC
This is a long non-coding RNA of Rhodamnia argentea, 1073 nucleotides long. RefSeq lists it as uncharacterized. The record is from RefSeq and is a predicted model, not a curated record. The transcript is spliced from 3 exons. NCBI's taxonomy places the organism in Eukaryota, Viridiplantae, Streptophyta, Magnoliopsida, Myrtales, Myrtaceae.